GACGAACGCUGGCGGCGCGCCUAAUACAUGCAAGUCGAACGAGAGCGACCGGUGCUUGCACUGGUCAAUCUAGUGGCGAACGGGUGAGUAACACGUGGGUAACCUGCCCAUCAGAGGGGGAUAACAUUCGGAAACGGAUGCUAAAACCGCAUAGGUCUUCGAACCGCAUGGUUUGAAGAGGAAAAGAGGCGCAAGCUUCUGCUGAUGGAUGGACCCGCGGUGCAUUAGCUAGUUGGUGAGGUAACGGCUCACCAAGGCCGUGAUGCAUAGCCGACCUGAGAGGGUGAUCGGCCACAUUGGGACUGAGACACGGCCCAAACUCCUACGGGAGGCAGCAGUAGGGAAUCUUCCGCAAUGGACGCAAGUCUGACGGAGCAACGCCGCGUGAGUGAAGAAGGUGUUCGGAUCGUAAAACUCUGUUGUUAGAGAAGAACAAGUGCUAGAGUAACUGUUAGCGCCUUGACGGUAUCUAACCAGAAAGCCACGGCUAACUACGUG
This 498-nucleotide ribosomal RNA is filed under the name uncultured bacterium. RNAcentral describes it as "partial 16S ribosomal RNA". It matches the Rfam family "Bacterial small subunit ribosomal RNA", at positions 28 to 507 of the family's 1533-position model. The record is from RNAcentral.